GAUGAACGCUGGCGGCGUGCCUAAUACAUGCAAGUCGAGCGAACGGACGAGAAGCUUGCUUCUCUGAUGUUAGCGGCGGACGGGUGAGUAACACGUGGAUAACCUACCUAUAAGACUGGGAUAACUUCGGGAAACCGGAGCUAAUACCGGAUAAUAUUUUGAACCGCAUGGUUCAAAAGUGAAAGACGGUCUUGCUGUCACUUAUAGAUGGAUCCGCGCUGCAUUAGCUAGUUGGUAAGGUAACGGCUUACCAAGGCAACGAUGCAUAGACGACCUGAGAGGGUGAUCGGCCACACUGGAACUGAGACACGGUCCAGACUCCUACGGGAGGCAGCAGUAGGGAAUCUUCCGCAAUGGGCGAAAGCCUGACGGAGCAACGCCGCGUGAGUGAUGAAGGUCUUCGGAUCGUAAAACCCUGUUAUUAGGGAAGAACAUAUGUGUAAGUAACUGUGCACAUCUUGACGGUACCUAAUCAGAAAGCCACGGCUAACUACGUG
RNAcentral lists this ribosomal RNA (497 nucleotides) under uncultured bacterium. Its description in RNAcentral is "partial 16S ribosomal RNA". It matches the Rfam family "Bacterial small subunit ribosomal RNA", at positions 28 to 507 of the family's 1533-position model. The record is from RNAcentral.